UCGGCUUAGAGUUUGAUCAUGGCUCAGGACGAACGCUGGCGGCAUGCCUAAUACAUGCAAGUCGAACGAGUGCUUGCACAGUGGCGAACUGGUGAGUAACACGUGGGAAAUCUGCCCAGAAGCAGGGGAUAACACUUGGAAACAGGUGCUAAUACCGUAUAACAACAAAUCCGCAUGGAUUUUGUUGAAAGGUGUUCGUAUCACUUCUGGAUGAUCCCGCGGCGUAUUAGUUAGUUGGUGAGGUAAAGGCCCACCAAGACGAUGAUACGUAGCCGACCUGAGAGGGUAAUCGGCCACAUUGGGACUGAGACACGGCCCAAACUCCUACGGGAGGCAGCAGUAGGGAAUCUUCCACAAUGGACGAAAGUCUGAUGGAGCAAUGCCGCGUGAGUGAAGGAGGGUUUCGGCUCGUAAAACUCUGUUGUUAAAGAAGAACACCUUUGAGGUAAUUCAAGGGUUGACGGUAUUUAACCAGAAAGCCACGGCUAACUACGUGCCAGCAGCCGCGGUAAUACGUAGGUGGCAAGCGUUGUCCGGAUUUAUUGGGCGUAAAGCGAGCGCAGGCGGUUUCUUAAGUCUGAUGUGAAAGCCUUCGGCUUAACCGGAGAAGUGCAUCGGAAACUGGGAGACUUGAGUGCAGAAGAGGACAGUGGAACUCCAUGUGUAGC
Molecule: ribosomal RNA, 668 nt
Filed under: uncultured Lactobacillus sp.
Lineage: Bacteria; Bacillati; Bacillota; Bacilli; Lactobacillales; Lactobacillaceae
Description: bacterial SSU rRNA
Rfam family: Bacterial small subunit ribosomal RNA
Source: RNAcentral